RNAcentral lists this long non-coding RNA (301 nucleotides) under Carica papaya (papaya). RNAcentral describes it as "long non-coding RNA (CPAP_LNC002665)". Lineage: Eukaryota; Viridiplantae; Streptophyta; Magnoliopsida; Brassicales; Caricaceae. The record is from RNAcentral.
UUAUAUUUGUUGGUAGUUAUGAUUAAUUUUAAGUAAUUAUAAUAGUGCUUAUAAAUAAUCAUGUACUUCAAACUUUUUUAUAACAACCACAAUAAAAAAAUUUGAGUCUUCUCAUUAGUCUCUCUAGUAUCUUCCUCAUUUCUCCAACAGAAAUAAACAAUCAUGUAAUCAAGAUAUACGAAAACUAAAAUGAUAGAAGUUACAUCUUAAGAUUAUAGGGGUCAUGGUAAGAAUGAUGGAAGAGAAUGUAUUUUAAGAUAACUAAGAUGAAAGUCGGUUUCUAUAUGCAAAAAACGAUUCA